UGGUGGAGGGGAACUAGAUGGUUGUGGUGGUGUAGCUUGGUAUGGAGGUGGACUAGGUUGACUAUAGGUGGGAGGUGCAGUGGGUGCACUUGGUGGUGGUGGAGGCAAAUUGUUGGUUGGAGGACUAGAUUGUGGUGGCAUGGGAGAUUUGUAUGGAGGCAUGGUAGGAGGGAUAGAGGGUGAGAGCGGUGGCUGGUUAUUUGGCGGAGGUGUGGUUGGGGUACUUGAAGGUGGUGGAGGGGAACUAGAUGGUUGUGGUGGUGUAGCUUGGUAUGGAGGUGGACUAGGUUGAGUGUAGGUUGGAGGUGCAGUGGGUGCACUUGGUGAUGGUGGAGGCAAAUUGUUGGUUGGAGGACUAGAUAGUGGUGGCACGGGAGAUUUGUACGGAGGCAUGGUAGGAGGGAUAGAGGGCGAGAGUGGUGGCUGGUUAUUUGGUGGAGGUGUGGUUGGGGUACUUGAAGGUGGUGGCAGGGAACUAGAUGGUUGUGGUGGUGUAGCUUGAUGUGGAGGUGGACUAGAAUGCAAUGGAGGUGGUUGACUAUAGGUUGGAGGUGCAAUGGGUGGACUCGACGGUGGUGGUGGCAAAUUGUUGGUUGGAGGACUAGAUUGUGGUGGCAUGGUAGGAGGGCUAGAGGGCGACGGGGUUGGUUGGUGAUUUGGUGGAUAUGUUGGAGGUGUGGUUGGGGUACUUGAAGGUGGUGGAGGGGAACUAGAUUGUUGUGGUGGUGUGGCUUGGUGUGGAGGUGGACUAGGUAUCAAUGAAGGUGGUUGACUAUAAGUUGGUGGUGCAAUCGGUGGACUUGAUGGUGGUGGAGGCGAAUUGUUAGUUGGAGGCUUGGCUGGAGGACUAGAUUGUUGUGGUGGAGGAGAUUUGUGUGGAGGCAUGGUUGGAGGGCUGGAGGGCGACGAGGGUGGUUGGUUAUUUGGCGGAUAUAUCGGGGCUGUGGUUGGGGUACUUGAAGGCGGUGGAGGGAAACUGUUGCUUGGAGGCGUCACAGGAGGGCUGGACUUUGGUGGUGGAGGAUAUUGUUGUGGAGGUGUUUCUUGGGGACUUGAAGAUUGUGGAGGUGUACCUGAGGAGGAGGGAGGCCCUGAUGAGUCAUUAGACGGUGAUGGUGACUCUUGGUCAUGACCACAGUCAUCUUUCUUUGGAUGCCCGUGACCAUCACCAUGUGGGUCUGGACCUUUCCCUGGCUUUUGGCAAUGUGGGUUCUUCACUGGCCCAACCCCAUUACUGCCGUCACCUUUGUCAGUGCCUUGCUCUCCAUCACCUCCCUUAUCUCUCUGUGAGUUGUGAUCACUGCCAUCCUUGGAAUCAGAACCAUGCCCCUUGUCCCCAGACGACUUGUCGUCAUCGGCUUGGACUAUGUGAACGGUGAGGAGGAGGGUGAGAAGGAACAGAGCUACUAUCCAUCUCAUGGCGUGAGAUCGCUGGCCGCCUAGCUGCCAGCGAUUAGCAAGACAGGUUACUGCCUACUAGCUCACUGAUGGCUUGUGUUGCAUGGGCAGGGCGAUGUCUCUAUUUAUAGUGGUGUAGCACAUUGGUUACUCCAUGGUAGCUAGCUAGAUGCAUAGAGUUUACUCGACCUGUUCCGAUCGAUCGAGAUGCAGAAGCUUCUCUCUUCUCAGCGGGCUUGGCUUUUGUUAAUUCAGUGUCAGCUGCCUAUCUGAAUUAACUAUACAUAUCAUCACUUGUUCACGUCUAUGACCAUAGAAACAGAAUCUUAUAAGCUGACAGUAGCCGUCCAUUGCUAGAUAUGAUUUCCUGCUAUAUUAACGUUGACAUUUUGAAGCGUACGCGGAUCUCCGCGCGCAUAGGCACAGAGCAUCUUACCAGCUCGUGGUUCGUGGCAUGCAGUCAGAUGAUAUUUGCUGACACACGGCUCCAUCAGGAAACUAAAUUAGCUGGGAUAUCUGUAAGCUGUGGACACAGAGACGGUUUGACCUUUUUAAGCUUUCAUAGGAAUUAAUUUAAUUUUAUGUAGAUUUAUAAAAUAUCGCCAAGCACACGAACCCAGAAUGGCAGGCUCUGUGAAGUCGCCAGCAUGCAUCUCUACGUGCCAUCUCAUAUCACGUGAUUACGUCAGGCACUGGAUCUUGUAGCCAUUUUGGAGGUACAGGUAGCAUCUAUCAAACUCAACACCUGAUCCAAUGAUCUGCCAACUGAAAACUAUAUUUAGGUUGAUAGCACAAAUGUAUACUCUCUUCAUUCUAAAAUUACAUUUACCAUAAGCUAAUAACUAGUUUUUUUUGUUUUAAACUGAGUCUCAACAAUGAUUGCGAAACCACUCACUAUAAGAAAAGAUACAUUGUAGAAAUUCUUAAAAGUUCAAUACUAUUAAUUCGCUGCGACAAAACUGUCCAGUUUAUUUAACUCAAAUGCACUAGCCGACCUCUCAGAAUAGCAGUAAAUAAAGGAAGAGACCGAUUUGAUUACACAUAGUGGAAGCAAUUUCAUUGCUACACCAUGAUGUUCAGGAGUCGAAUACAAAGAUACCGAAAUAAUUCACAACAAACAACAGAUGUGUUUCCAGGGACUCGGACAACAAACUACAAUAAGCAGCUACGACAACACCAAAAGAACACAAGUCGGAAGGCAUCACUUUGCCAUGAGCAAGACAGAUUUAACCGAGUCAACCAGCGAGUACCCACCCACCGAGACGUGUACUCGAUCAGUGACUUCUCCCCUCGGAUCUUCAUCUGCAACAGUUAGCAAGACUUAUCAGAGUGCGGGCUCUCGUUAGGUUCCUGGAAGCGAUUCCUUGAAAUGAUUUUCAGCCAGGAUAAUUGACUAACUUGUAUAAUCUUACAUCAGCCGGAUUGGUUCCUAGGCUCAUUCCAGGUUAAAACCGAAUGAGCUCUAAACAGAAAUAUAUUUAGCCUCACCCUUAAGAGUACGCAGGAGGCUAUUUGGCUAGCGAGUGUUGCUUGCAGAAUAGCGUACUAACUCUUGGUCUUCAACUUUCAUGCUUUUAUCACUAGUAGUUUGUACUUAACCUGUUCGAUUAAGAUUGCACUCACUAAAAUUAUCCGUGGACAGACUUGCAUUUCACAUCUUACAGACAUAUAGAUAUUUCCACACUACUUUUUUCACAGAUAUGCUUGUUAGCAUGUGUUUCAUUGAGAAGAUAGGAGUUGAAAAUACAACAAGGAGCAAGCAGACUAGGGGCAUGCCACACGACGUCCACAAGUACAAAAAUGUUAAUUAUGUACUAUGAAGCCGGUUCUACUGCAACGAAAGCUAGAACACUUCGAUGAGUAGACUAUCAGCAGAAUCACGAACGUCGCUAGGCGGGACCGUCACUAGACUAAGGCGUUAGCGUCAUCUGUUCAUUCCUGAGACCGCACAAUCAACCGUGACGCCUAUGUUUAUCCCUCAGACCGCACAACCAGAGACGGUGAAUGCAGGAACCGUGAUGCCUAUGUCACUAGUACAUGGCACAUUAUACACGCGGUUGGUAAGGCGUUUUCCAGCACCGCCUGCGCUGGGGGCCAGUAGAAAUCGUCCAUUUCCACAGGCGGUUGCUUGAGAGCCGCCAGUAGAAACCGUUUACACAGACGGCUCUCUUAGGGAACCGCCUGUGUAAAUGCACAUUUACACAGGCAGUUCCCUAAGAGAACCGCUCGUGAAAACCUAUUAAAAAUGUAUUAUUUAUUUAUUUAUUUAUUUAUUAUUUUAUUAUUAUUAUUUAAAUAUAUUGAUAUUGGUUGGUCUUCAAACAUAGCAACAUGCAAUUUAAAUACUUCAUCUCAUACAUACAUUUGUAUACAUCAAAGUUUGGUGCUCAAAGACAUAAAGUUAAUUACAAGAGUAUAUCCAUCAUCACACAUCAUAUAUAUAUAUACUUCAAAGUUUGUUUCUGUCCUCUAAUAACCCUCUUUAGUAAGUUUGAGUAAACUAGUCUCUGUUAGCACUCGGAACUGUGACCUGGAUAAUUGGCUUUCAUCAUCAUGAUAUUUGCCUUCACGUGGAAUGACAUGCUUCAUGAUGAACGAGUAGAUGUCCUCAACUAUGUUGUCUAAAGCACGUUCGUCCAUGCGUUCCGCCGUCCCUUGCUUAUAUACCUGCAAAGAAAGUUUAUAAACAUUAUAUAUUUUAUGACUUCCAACUUUAAUAAACUAUUACUUAUAUUACCUUGUCAGGGUUCCUUGCAUAUCGUUCGUUCUCUCUCAUGUUCUCGCACACGUAGUAGCCACAGAGGACACAUAAGGGUGGCUGCUUCAUGCACUGUAUAACAGGAGAGUGGUUAUUUAAUUAGAGUUGCAACUGUGGUCCUAUGUGUAUGAUUUGUAUUCAUAACAGUAAAUUUUUAUAUGUAUCGGCCAGUUAUGUAUAACCUCCAAUGGUUUUCCUGGUCUGUUGGACUCACACUUUCUAUAGUUUAUCUUAUAGAACCUGUAUGCCCUAUGAUCUCAAAUAGAAUCACCAUGUUAUUGUCAAACUCUCACUAUGCUUAAGUAUGCAUGCAUAGCUUGACUUACAGCUCUAGAAGUUUGAUGAAUGGAGCAUAGCUUUCUUUCGGGUAAUCUGUGGAGUCUAGUACCAACACCCUUUCCUCCUUGGGAUAAAUGAUGAAGCAUAUCCAGUGGUUCUUGCUCGAAUUAAAUCCAUGAUGCAUUUAUGCAUUGGAAUAGUUUAGAUAGAUAUUUGUAAACUCACACUUACCCAAAGUGGUACGGGGCCACCACCGCUUUCCUAUCUUGAAACUUUAUUAGUGAAUGUCCAAUAUAGAAGGCGUAUUUGGCUUCAAAAUCAAGUUUCAACUUUUGGAGUUUCUCAUCCCGUUCCGCACCUUCCAAACCCUAUACCUCUGUGCUGGCAUUCCCGAUCCGAAAUGUGUGCUGAUUUUUGGCUAUAUCUAUUGGGAAGAGAUAGCCAUUACUUUCUUCGACACAAUAAUUAAAGUUCGAACCAAAAUACAAAUCUUGUUGAUCAUAUAACAUUAUGCAAGACAGAAGCAUGUCAGAUAUUGAAAAUUGAUGCAACUACAAUGUGUGUAACUAUGUAACACUUACAAUGCAAAUGUCGUUACGAUCUGUACAUCUAGCAUCUUGUGGUUCAUCAGUGCCCACAUGUCAUCAAAUGUAAGCAUGCAUUUGUCAGUAUUCUGGCUAAGAAAUGCUAUUUGUGGUAUGCGCAUGCUUAUGGUGUCGAUGCCAGCAGAAGAGGCUCUCAUGUACCAGUCAUGAAACCUUUUUAUACCACUUGGUUUCUUCAUAAGUUUGGCCCGACUGAGUAGAGGCUUUCCCCACACAUACUUUUUGGGGAUAUGCUUGUAGUCUUCUGCAGUUGGCACCUUGAAUUUGACAAGAGUUAUGACCUUAGGCGCCGGCACCUCUGACUUUGCUAGCUCAGAAAUCUCAUGCUCUUGUACUGUUCGUUUAGAAGCAAUGCUUGACAAAAAUCUCACUUGACCAGCUGAUUUUUUCUUUGGCUCGUAUGAUGAAAUCAACUUGGGUAUCGGAAAUACUUUCUUCUUAAUUGGCACCUUUGGUGGCUCACUUCUUGGUUCUGGAUCUUUGAGUUAUGGGGAAGGGGUGGAAUUGAAUGGUGGUGGAGAUUGUGUUGACUGUGGGGUAGAAAGAUCAUGGAGAGGAGAUGGUUGAUGGACAGGGAAAACAUGGAGAGGUGAUUCUGGUGGGUCAGGAAGAGACUGGGGAGGUGAAGGCGGUGGGUUAAGAAGAGGAUCGACAUGAGCUGACGACUCCUGGGUGAGUGGCAUGUCUUGAGAGGGUGGUGGUGGCUCCCUUAGUUGCACGUCCCUCGGAGGCGAAACGAUGAAAUUGUUUAUCGUCUGUCUUAGUUUCACAAUGUCCUUAGGACUAGGGAUGUCUAGAAUUUCGUCCUCAUAUCCUUGGACCACGGUUGAUACCUCUACUCUGCAGUAGUCUUUACAAAUGUCAGCACCAUGGUAUUUAGGUCCUCCUGGGAUCGCUUUGUCUGUGGCUACUUCCCUUGUACGAUGAUUGUUAAUCCCAUAUCUUAUGACAAGGGAGCAAGGUGUAGAAGUAACAAUGUCGUCAACUGGAUAGUGAUCCUUGUUUGCCGUAGAUGCGACACUGCUUGGAAUGAUUGUUUCACUCGGUGCCACCAACGGUUGCGACACCACUAGGACUAACUGCAUUUGGGGAGCUUGAGUGCUCAUCUGUUGAUUGGACACGGCACUUGCUAGUUUCUGCAUCAACUUAGGAGGAGGGUUUUCUAGCAACUUCCCCAUCAUCUCUUGGAAGUCUUUCUUAGCCUCUGCCUGAAAAUAAUUUGCCAUUUGUUCCUUGUACUGAUCACGUUUCUUAUACUCAUUUUUCCACUGAGGGCCGAAUCCAUCCUUCCAUCCUUCUUUGGAUGAGAUGCCUCGAACACGGCCAGGAUGCUCGGGGUUACCGAGGCCAACACUCAGGAUGUCCCUCUCCCUUCGUGGCGUGAACUUGCCUUCCUGCUGCAAGCCUGCCACUGCAAAGAUGCUCUUCAUUGCUUCACCAAGCAUUGGGUCUUCAAAGGACACACUCGUCUCGGUUUCCUUUGGUUUCCGAGCAUCGAUCCAAUUCGCGGACCUUUCACCGACUUGCUCGGACAGCAUUGGCAACCCUACUGCCUUCUUCGCAGCCUCUUCUUGCCUCUAUUUAGGAACUUGGUGCUGGUAACCACCUGUGCCUAGAUGGUGGUGGUACUUGUUCCUCUUUGUGAGUUGGGAGUUGGCUUCGCUCCAAGCUAAGAAGUUAGGGUCAUUCCUCUGCUCUAGAAAAACAACCCACUGCCCUUUAGUAAUCUUGUAUUUAGUUGUCGGAUCCAUCUCUAUCUUUGCAUACUUGACAUUCAUCUCCGACCUCCAAUUUUGGAAACUAACCGCACACUGCUUCAUUGUAUAUGCCUUUACUAAAUCUUCUGGCACAUUCAUAGGAAACUGGAACCCCGUCUUAAUCUUAUCCCAAAUUUUGAUCUUGUGAUUAUUCGACACACCGGACCAGUUCUUAAUUGUGAUAUCAAGAAAGUCCCUCACAUAGAAACCAAUUGUGUUUCUGUAUUUGGGUAGGGCCUCCUCUGGAGCUAGGGCUGUCCGGUAGGGCUCACAUCUGUGAUGGCAUAUGUGUCAUCUAGAAAUUGGUUCAACCCUCUCUCGCCUCGUUUCAAACCUAGCCGCUUCCUUUUCCUCUCUCGUCGUUGCGGUCGUCGGUUUCGGUGCGUCUUCGUGUGCCACUUCCUCCUGAGACAUCAUCACUCUAAACUGAGACAUUGCCUCCUAAGUAUAGACAUGUGAAUCAUGGGCGUGUUUCUAUAUAGAAACUAUAAAUAGAAAUCAUUUAAUUACAUGAAAUCGUGAAUGUCUCUAAUUUACCUCAUCGGCUUUUGGAUUGUAAUCGGGGUCACGUGCCAAUUCACAACGAGUCUUCCUCACUUCUAGAGGCUCCAUGUCGUCGCUAGCUUCUUGUUCGUAGGACGAUCCUGAUGCUUCGCCCGUUUCUACUUGUUUCGUGACCUCACGAUCUUUUUCCAUAGGGUGGGAUGACCCUUCUACUUGCUCUGUGGUUGGGACUGCAGUGCUUCGUCCUUGUGCGGAGAACUCAUCGCAGAAAUCUAUGUAAUUUAUAAAUAAAAUUAAAUUUAUGUAUAAAAUUAAAUUUAUGUAUCUUGGGGUAUAUACACUAAUAUAUCGUACUAUACACCAAUACAUACACAAAGAGAUUAAAUUUACAUACACUAAUACACUAACAUAUUAUAAAGCAUAAAAUUAAAUUUAUGUAUUGUGGGGUAUAUACACUAAUAUAUCAUACACUAACAUAUACACUACUACAUAUAUAAAGAGAUUAAAUUUACAUACACUAAUACACUAACCUAUAUUAUAAAGCAUACAAUUAAAUUUAUGUAUCCUGCAUAUAUCAUACACUAACAUAUACACUAAUACAUACACAAAGAGAUUAAAUUUACAUACACUAAUACACUAACAUAUAUUAUAAAACAUAAAAUUAAAUUGAUGUAUCCUGGGGUAUAUACACUAAUAUAUCAUACACAAAUAUAUUAAAUGAUUUACAAAGAGAUUAUAACAAAAAGAUAAAAUUAAAUUUACAUAUACACUAAUACAUAUACAAAGAGAAAUAAUAACAAGUAUUUAUAAAAGGAAUAACAAUUAUUUAUAAAAUAAUAACUAUGAAUAAAAUCACAUGUAAAAGACAUAAUAAUAUCUCCUGAUUUUAUUUUUAUUUUUUCUGAUUUUUAUAAUUUUUUGCCUUUUUUAUGGUUUUAUUCAUUUUUUAUAAAAAAUAAAUUGUUAAAGUAAAAAAAACUUCCCAGCCCGUGACUCCCUCUCCAUUCUCUCCCUCUCUCUGGCAGGUGGGCCUCACAUGUCGGGGUUGUCCCCUACCUCUAGCCACUCCGCGCCCGCCCCUUCCACCACCACCGCACACCGCACCCACCCCUUCCCCUUCCACCACCGCCACCGCGGCCGCCCUUCCCCUUCCACCACCACCGCGGCCACCACCCUUCCCCGUCCGGUGCAGCGCCACCACCGCGCCCCCACCACAGCCGCCGCCGCCACGUCGAGGAUACGCAGGGAGAGAGAGAGAGAGAGAGAGCGAGGAGGAGAGGCUCACCGCGGGGCGGCUACGGCGUCGAGGGCGGAGGGGUCCGGCUACGGUGUCAAGGGCGGAGGGGUCCGGCUACGGCAGCAACGGCGUCGAUGGCGGCUACGGCGGUGGUGGAAAAUUCGGCAGCCUGUCGGCUUAGUUUGAAUGAACAGGGCGCCAGACUUAGAAAAAUUUUGGGCGGAGGAGACCGAGGGUUAUAUACAUUGGCACUAGUACAGGCGGUUGUCUAAGAUAACCGCCUGUAGAAAUAGUUUCUACAGGCAGUUGACUAAGACAACCGCCAGUACUAAUGCAUUAGUACUGGCAGUUCUCUAAGACAGCCGCCAGUACUAAUGCAUUAGUACUGGCGGUUCACUCUGAGGGCCGCCUGUAUAAAUGUAUUUUCAGUUUAUUUAAAGUUUUCCUUAUAUAUAUUUUUAGAAAUUAUUUAAAUGAUUUAAAAAAUCAUAUCUUCAAAAAUAUUUGUCCUAAAUUAGUGAAAAAAAUUUUGUUAUGUUCCUCUUGACUAGAUACACAUGUUAAAAAUAUGAAAUUUCAUGUUUGAGGUACUUUUGUAUGCAGCUUUAUUUAAAAUGAUUUAAAUUGAAUAUGUAUCUCAUAUCUUGCUUAAUACAUAAAUAAUUCUAGGAAUACCAGAAAAAAGUAAAUCCAAUUUUGUUAGCUUUAUUGUAGUGUGUAAAUGCUAUGAAAAAUAUAUUCCUUUGUGCAAUUUACCGUUGACAAUAUAAAGGUGAGGAACUUAUAUGUUUGAGCAUAGUUCGGUGGAAUGGCUCUUCUACGUUUGUGAAGCAUGUAUCUUAUGCCUAUCUCUAAAUGUCUUAAAAAUUUUUUGGCAAGCUUCUACACUGAAAUGAUGAUCCCACACAAGAUCUUAGGAUUUUCUAGUCAUGCAAGCUAUUAUUACAUUUUUCUUUGUGCUAAAUGAGAUAAAAAAUGGUGGACUACACCUAGAUCCCACUAGGUUUUUCCACCAAC
This 9555-nucleotide long non-coding RNA is filed under the name Sorghum bicolor (sorghum). Its description in RNAcentral is "long non-coding RNA (SBIC_LNC006272)". Lineage: Eukaryota; Viridiplantae; Streptophyta; Magnoliopsida; Poales; Poaceae. The record is from RNAcentral.